Molecule: long non-coding RNA, 981 nt
Organism: Python bivittatus (Burmese python)
Lineage: Eukaryota; Metazoa; Chordata; Lepidosauria; Squamata; Pythonidae
Source: RefSeq, a predicted model, not a curated record
AAGGGAUCUAAACUUAUUUCAGCAUUGUGGUGUAUAAAUCUUCUGGGAUUCAGGGAAAAAAAUCAACUGUACUCAGACUGGUUGGUGCCAUAUCCCCACAACCUUUCGGUCCAGAGGACCACAUGAUUACCUGUCCCUGAAUGCAAGGAAUGGAGAAGAACCUGAAGGAAACCAGCGAACAUAGCAGCGUCGGCUCACGGUGCCUUAACAAGCAGAACCAGCUUUGACCAGGUUGCUGAAUGCUAGCCUCAGACUGUAGCAAAACCAUAAUCGCAAGGGUGGGGGGAAACACCCCAAACCAAAUCAGUGCAAAUUAAGGACAAAAGGAUGGAAAAGCCUUGAGAGAGCUCAUUGUCCGGAAGCACCCAGUCUUACCUGUUGAUUCCUGUCAACUCAUGCUGUCUACUGAUAAUGUAUUAUAAACAUACUGAUAAUGCAUUGCUUUGCUUAACAUGUUAGGUUAAAUUGGAUGUUACUUGGACAGAUGUAGGCCCUUACUCUUCCUUUCCCAACACCCAAGUAGAUUUGAGGUAUGUGUAACAGGGAGUGAUGGUGGAAGGCAAGGAAGUAACCUAUUAUUUUGCAUCAGCUAACAGACACAAUUAGAUACAUGGUGUUCUUUGAUCAUUUAUUCUUUGAUAAAAAUAUACAUUGCAGCAUCCAGUGUCAGACCAAUUAUUGCUCUCUAUAUACUGUCUGUAAUCAUAUGUAUUUUGAGAGUUUUCUCUUCAUGACUUGCAUACAGUGAAUUUUGCAAAUUCAUACUAGUGAAUGUAAAGAUAUUGUAUAUAUGGUGAGUCAGUAUUCAAAACUGCUGUUGGAAAUGAUAAAAUUGUCAUUGCAAAAAUGUAUGGAUUUCAUUUAGUUAAAUAUUCUUUGGGUGGUUGUUAGUAUGCAUUUGGACACCUUAUGUGAAGACCUGUCACUCUAGAGAAAGCUGUAAUGCUGGGAAAGGUGGACGGAAAUAGAAGAGGAUGACCA